RNAcentral lists this ribosomal RNA (225 nucleotides) under uncultured Acinetobacter sp. Its description in RNAcentral is "partial 16S ribosomal RNA". It matches the Rfam family "Bacterial small subunit ribosomal RNA", at positions 568 to 792 of the family's 1533-position model. The record is from RNAcentral. Lineage: Bacteria; Pseudomonadati; Pseudomonadota; Gammaproteobacteria; Moraxellales; Moraxellaceae.
UGCGUAGGCGGCUAAUUGAGUCGGAUGUGAAAUCCCCGAGCUUAACUUGGGAAUUGCAUUCGAUACUGGUUAGCUAGAGUGUGGGAGAGGAUGGUAGAAUUCCAGGUGUAGCGGUGAAAUGCGUAGAGAUCUGGAGGAAUACCGAUGGCGAAGGCAGCCAUCUGGCCUAACACUGACGCUGAGGUACGAAAGCAUGGGGAGCAAACAGGAUUAGAUACCCCAGUA